GACGAACGCUGGCGGCGUGCCUAAUACAUGCAAGUAGAACGCUGAAGGAGGAGCUUGCUUCUCUGGAUGAGUUGCGAACGGGUGAGUAACGCGUAGGUAACCUGCCUGGCAGCGGGGGAUAACUAUUGGAAACGAUAGCUAAUACCGCAUAAUAGUAGAUGUUGCAUGACAUUUGCUUAAAAGUUGCAAUUGCAUCACUACCAGAUGGACCUGCGUUGUAUUAGCUAGUUGGUGGGGUAACGGCUCACCAAGGCGACGAUACGUAGCCGACCUGAGAGGGGGCUCGGCCACACUGGGACGGGGACACGGCCCAUACUACUGCGAGAGGGAGCAGUAGGGAAUCGUCGGCAGUGGACGGAAGUCUGACCGAGCGACGCCGCGUGAGAGACGGAGGCUUCCGGAUCGUGAAGCUCUGUUGUGAGUGAAGAACGAGUGUGAGUGUGGACAGUUCACACUGUGACGGUAUCUUACCAGAAAGCGACGGCUAACUACGUG
This 495-nucleotide ribosomal RNA is filed under the name uncultured bacterium. RNAcentral's name for it is "partial 16S ribosomal RNA". It matches the Rfam family "Bacterial small subunit ribosomal RNA", at positions 28 to 507 of the family's 1533-position model. The record is from RNAcentral.